This 164-nucleotide ribosomal RNA is filed under the name uncultured bacterium. Its description in RNAcentral is "partial 16S rRNA". It matches the Rfam family "Bacterial small subunit ribosomal RNA", at positions 355 to 511 of the family's 1533-position model. The record is from RNAcentral.
UAGGGAAUCUUCCACAAUGGGCGCAAGCCUGAUGGAGCAACGCCGCGUGAGUGAAGAAGGUCUUCGGAUCGUAAAACUCUGUUGUUAGAGAAGAACAUGCAGGAGAGUAACUGUUCAUACGUUGACGGUAUUUAACCAGAAAGUCACGGCUAACUACGUGCCAG